RNAcentral lists this long non-coding RNA (249 nucleotides) under Musa acuminata (dwarf banana). Its description in RNAcentral is "long non-coding RNA (MACU_LNC004051)". The record is from RNAcentral. Lineage: Eukaryota; Viridiplantae; Streptophyta; Magnoliopsida; Zingiberales; Musaceae.
AAAGACCAUUCGAAGAUAUUAGAAGACAAUAGUUGUCAAAUCCUCACCAUUGGUGAUCAGUGCUACUGAGAGUAGAGUAUCCGCCUCAUUUCCCAACAAAAUGCCAAUCGAAAGCGGAAGUGAUGCGAAUCUACUUGGAAGUUACAACUAAGUGAAAGAAGAGUUGAUGAGCAAAUUUUGUGGAGGAAGGACCAAAAGCUUUGAAAGUUUACGAGGCGAUGCUCGUUAAAGCUCCAACAAGCAUCCACC